This 324-nucleotide ribosomal RNA is filed under the name uncultured bacterium. RNAcentral describes it as "partial 16S ribosomal RNA". The record is from RNAcentral.
UAAGGCUGGGGCAGCUGGAAGGAACGUUGCCGGCAUUGACCACGUUGCAGAGCGUGUAUUCGCCCUUUCCUUCCGUGGCCUUCCAGAAGCCGGGCUGUUCGGCCGCGGCAAGGGUCGAACCGAAAGGCAGGGCCGGGACCUUCAUGUCGAACCACUGUUUGAGCAGGAUCGAGCUCUCGGGCAUAUCCAUCCAGAUGUUGAUGAUUUCCGCUUUUGUAUUCUUGGCCUUCAACAGCCCCAUGCUGAAAUCCGUGGCGCCGGUGGGAUACACCUCCAGACCCAUGAUGUAGGGACAAGGGCACUAAGUAGAGGGGUUUUAAUCUC